Molecule: ribosomal RNA, 253 nt
Filed under: uncultured bacterium
Lineage: Bacteria
Description: partial 16S ribosomal RNA
Rfam family: Bacterial small subunit ribosomal RNA
Source: RNAcentral
GACGAACCGUGCGAACGUUAUUCGGAAUCACUGGGCUUAAAGGGAGCGUAGGCGGGCUAUCAAGUCUGGGGUGAAAUCCCACGGCUCAACCGUGGAACUGCCUUAGAUACUGACGGCCUCGAGGGAGAUAGGGGCAUGCGGAACUGUAGGUGGAGCGGUGAAAUGCGUAGAUAUCGGAAGGAACAUCAGUGGCGAAAGCGACUUCCUGGACCAGUACCGACGUUCAGGCACGAAAGCGUGGGGAGCAAACAGG